Molecule: long non-coding RNA, 1510 nt
Organism: Dioscorea cayenensis subsp. rotundata (Guinea yam)
Lineage: Eukaryota; Viridiplantae; Streptophyta; Magnoliopsida; Dioscoreales; Dioscoreaceae
Exons: 2
Source: RefSeq, a predicted model, not a curated record
CAGUUGAAAUUUAUUUUCUUCUCAUCAAUUUCUAGAAGCACAGGAAGCACCAUACAGUACUGAGGGCCUGUACUUAUAUUUACUUACUAUCAAGGCAAUAAUAUGGGUCUCUGAAUUCGAGCACCCUUAAAGGUUUUGAAAUGUAUUCAAGAGGAUGAAGGUCGAUAUGUUUAUGCCAUCCUCUCCAGCUUUUAGAGGAACUGCACGAGUCAAUCUGUCAGACCACUUUAAUCAGGUGCUCAAUUGGGGCCCUUGUUCUGUUGAUAUACUUCUCUGCAGAUAUUGCCCAAUCUGGUAUGGGUAUGGAGGCAAGCUUAGAUUACUACAAAAUAAGUAAAUAUGGAAGCAUCUGGCUUUUGCUUACCUUCUCCUCCAUCUUUUGCCUCUUGGGUUCUUGAAAUGAGGUGGAGUGGUGUAGGGGCCAUGGAUUGGUGAACAAAACAGCAGUUUUGGGUGAUCAGUGGGGUUUCGUCGCACUUAGUGGCAAUUAAUGCGGGCCAGUACAAUUUUGCUAGGUAAUAAGACUGGUCUGACUGUGAUAACUGAUAAAUCUGUCAAGGGUGUUUCUGUUGAAGUCUAAGUUUGAUCAGAGGGACCUGGAGACACUAGGCAGCUGUGAGAACCUGGAGAAUUGGGAAUGCAAGUUGCUAGUGGACUGGACUGUGAAGCUGGGCAGAUAUGCAGUAACAAGCUCUGUCUGUGCUGCAUAUGUUUUUAUGUGAAUGUUUGUAGUACUUUUAUUAUGCUUUACUGUUAACUUGAUGUAAGUUUGUAUUAAGUGUAUGGAUGUUCUGGUUGUGCUAAUUGUGCUGCUCUACUGGCAUGCACAUCAGAUGUUUGUAUAAUUGCCCAGUUCAUCAACGAAUGAAUGAAGUCAGUUUUUUUAGCUGUUAUUUUCUAUCUCUUCUUCUUCUAAUACAACUCAGAAGCUGUUACAGUUGUGUGUCUGAGUGUUUGUUCAUUGAAUACAAGUCUUGCUCUUGAUCCUAUCAGUUUCCAGGAGCUGCAUGCGUUCUGCUGGGCUUCUCUUUUCAUCAUUGCGAUGUCUAUACUUCUCAUUAACAUGUUUUCUAUGAUUGCUGGGAUUUCUUCGAUUUCUUCAGCCUUCACUAAUGGCAAUGGAUCUUGGGGGCCGUUUUUGCAAAGUUAUUCUUCUCAUCCUGGGUGAUCAUUCCUAUCUACCCAUUCGAUUUGCCAGAAUCGAGUUCCAACAGUUGUUGUCUGGUCAUCGCUUCUGGCACCCAUAUAAACCCAUUUUUCACAAGAUUUGAAGGACAAAAGAUUAUGGUGUGUGGCAUCUAUUGUUGAUCAAACAAUUCAAACCUCUUGCAGUCUGUCUGUCUGCCUCUCUCCCCUCUCUACUUUCUGACUUAUCAUUAAUGUUUGGUAAGUGAUAGUGUUUGAUUCACUGACCACCUGAAAGGUCAAGGACUUCGUAAAGGAAGGCAAAUUGUAUGGCAUACUCUUGUCUAAUUAAGGAAAUUGUUAAUCCCGAAUGUACUUGAAUUUA